Molecule: long non-coding RNA, 1404 nt
Filed under: Serinus canaria (Common canary)
Lineage: Eukaryota; Metazoa; Chordata; Aves; Passeriformes; Fringillidae
Description: lncRNA (ENSSCAG00000002852.1)
Source: RNAcentral
GUGACACUUGUGCCAACCCUUUCCUAGAGCUGCUGUGGUGUGGCUGUGAGCUGGCAGCUUGCAGAGCUGCCCAUACCUUUGAACCUGAGUGCUGGGAAUGAAAAGCACAGGGUGGAUGGAAUUUGUGCUCUUGUGCAGCACUUGUAUAUCCCUGCAGUUCUCGCUUUGGAGUUUGUGCAGCCUCUCCUCUGUUCUUGUGUCAUUCUUGGCCCAAGGGUGACAUAUGGGCACAGAGCUGAUGGGAUGGGCAGUGCAGAGUGAGCCAGCAGGUGCCUUUCUCAGCAGUCUCAGCACAACAGAUGAGGUUGCACACCCAGGCUUUGGAUCACAGCCUGAAUUGCCAUGCUGAGUCUUACAGAAAGCUCAAGUGUUGUUCCCACCACCCUCUUCAUUUUAAUGGGGUCUGCACUCUGGGCUGAACAGAUCUUCAUGCUCUACAGAGAAGCAACUUCUGGAAGACUGAAUUUGAAUAGGAUCUCCACUACUCCAAGCAAGAGAAAUUUUGUGUCACAGGAAACUGCACAUUUAUGGCUCUAUCUCAUUCUGAACUGUGCCAAAAAGGAUGGUAUUCAUGGGUAGUCUCAGGAGAUUAAUCUUUCUCUGUUAGCCAGUCUUGGUGAGCAAAUCCUGGAAAUAUUCCUCUUUCAGGACCUUUGCAGAAUACUUUGACAUCUAAUGUUUCUUUUAGAAUAUGAAACCAGACUGGUAGAAUUGCUGGAGUGUUAAAUUACUACAUGGUGUCUGUCUCCUGGAGGAAGAGGGUAAAAAACUGGAAAGCAAAAGUCUCCCACUGGAAUCUUGGCUUGAGGUGAAUAGAUGAAUGACAAAAUCUUUGUUCUGCAGUAGGGCCUGUCUGACCUUUCCUUUCCUGUUGAGUUGUGAAACAACAAAGUAAACAUUUAACUGAAUGUGGCAGCCUGAGACAAUUGGCCCUAUUGUAGAAGGAACUCCAGUCCCUUUACUCUGCAUAAAUUCUCUUUGCUGGCAAUGCUAAUAGAGCUGCAGUAGAAGAAAGCCAGGCCUUUCUUUGGGCAAGACCCAAGUUUAAGCAGAAAUACAAGUGGCUUAGUCCCUGAAAGUGUCCUGGAUGCAGCAGGGCUGCUGAGGAUCACCCAUGGUCAGAGCACUUUCAAAGGUAUUUUGUUUGUAGCAUAGGAAAUUAAUUUGUAAUACUGAAGUCUUCAAAGUCCUGCCAUCAGGCUUGUUGGGACUGGUUGGAUAUGAUUUCGUUACUAACAGAACAAUGGCAGGAUGGAAUUGCUGAGAUGUAUUCCUUGUACAAAAGGGAAUAAUUUCCAAACUGCUUUCCUUGAUUUCAUGGCACUGUCAUGACACUGCAUUCCCAGCUGAGGUGGGCUUCUGAGCAUGAAUAAACCCAUGAGUUCUAAAAUGCUGGAAAUGAAC